This 27-nucleotide non-coding RNA is filed under the name Cricetulus griseus (Chinese hamster). The record is from RNAcentral. Lineage: Eukaryota; Metazoa; Chordata; Mammalia; Rodentia; Cricetidae.
AAGAUUAAGGCCUGAACAGACACCAGC